GGAGGACUAGUUCAAUCGGUAGAACACGCGUCUCUGGAACGCGAAGUUGAUGGUUCGACUCCAUCGUCCUCUUCCA
RNAcentral lists this transfer RNA (76 nucleotides) under Kofleriaceae bacterium. Its description in RNAcentral is "tRNA-Gln". It matches the Rfam family "tRNA". Rfam says of the family: Transfer RNA (tRNA) molecules are approximately 80 nucleotides in length. Their secondary structure includes four short double-helical elements and three loops (D, anti-codon, and T loops). Lineage: Bacteria; Pseudomonadati; Myxococcota; Haliangiales; Kofleriaceae. The record is from RNAcentral.